GGAGUGGAAAAUGGCGGCCUCCUUGCCGCUUGGGUUACCAGAGUCCUCCCGACCUCGUGCUUUCUCCGGGCGCCCGUAGCUGGUGCCGGCAUCCACAAAAAUAGAUCAGGUAAAGCCGCAGAGUAAGGGAUAGGAAGACUCGGUUGGGCUCCGCGGCCCCUCUUUACCGGAUUGGAGGCUGCGCGGGUGAAAUCGAGCUUUAAAUUCCCCUGGCCUCGGAACACCAUUUGUAGCCUCUGAAGGAGGAGGACUUAUAAGAUUCUGUACUAAGGCAGCCGUGGGAAGGGAGGAGAACCAGGUCGGCCCGCCCGCUCCCGGCUGCUUUUGCUCUCCUUUUGGUUUCGGAAGCGUCAAGUCCCAAGAUAGAGGAUGAAUAAAGAGGAAGCUCCAGGCUGUGAGGUGUCUAAUCCUUGCUCCCCUCAGAAGUUGGGACAUGUUGGACCAAGGUGGUAAGGAUAGUGAGUUUCCCAGAAGCUGGACAAGCCACGACGGCGCCUUCCAAUAAAAGGGGAACUCCAGAGACGCUAUGAGAAAAGAGGAACAGACAUCUGCAAUAGAUAU
RNAcentral lists this non-coding RNA (561 nucleotides) under Pongo abelii (Sumatran orangutan). Lineage: Eukaryota; Metazoa; Chordata; Mammalia; Primates; Hominidae. The record is from RNAcentral.